Molecule: long non-coding RNA, 4337 nt
Filed under: Homo sapiens (human)
Lineage: Eukaryota; Metazoa; Chordata; Mammalia; Primates; Hominidae
Description: non-protein coding LINC01608:8
Source: RNAcentral
CAUUGGAGAUAGAAAACUCUGAAGGAAGCUUUAUCUAUUCCAGAAUGUCAUAUAGCUGGUAUAAGAAAGAACACUAAUCAUUCCUAAGGAAGAAAAUUAACAACGCCGUGAGUUAUAAUAUCUGGCUGAAACUGAAGGAGCUCUGUGUAAUUAAAAGUCCUUUCUGCCCUGCCUGGCCAUGGUUCUGUAUGCAUUGAUGUCUUACAAACUGAAAAAAAAAAAAGUUAUUUUCUCAUCUCCAUUCCCUAGCAUAGACAUAUUACAUGAUGUGGAAUUGAAACAAGAAAAUUGCAUUUUAAUCUUCCACUCAGAACAUAGAAGAAUGAAACAAACAAACAAAAAAUACUCUGUUGUCUUAGUCUACCACAAGCAAAAUCUGGCAGUCUCUUUGCUUUGGUAAUGGCAUAAAUUCCUUGAUUAGCCUAUAGGAUAGCCCAUUGUUCUGCUCUUUUAGUGGAAUAGCUAGCAAUUGCUUUGUCAUUUUUUCCCCAUGGUUCCUACCAUUAGUGUUGGGAGGUUUCUUCUUUGUUUUUUUGAGAAAGAGGAAAAAGUUGUUAUAUUUUCAUAAAAACUUAAAUUUCAUCCAAAAUACUUGAUUUUCAUGAAGAAAGUAAAUAUCUCUGCCCCUAGUAUACAUGUGUGGAAACUUUCAGAACCCUGAAGAUAAAUACAUUUCAAACAAGUGAGUUUGAAAAUAUCAAUAGCAAAAUAGGAAGUAAGCUAAUUAGAGAGGUAAGAACUAGAUGGCUUAGCAUUCCAAUAAUAAUAUAUAACCUUCUUUAAGAGUAAAAUCUUGGUCAAAAGACAGAUGAAAACUCCAAUAAAAUUUCACAACUCAUGGAAAAGUCUAUCUUCGUAAUUCUUUAUGAAGCAAACUAUAUAUAUAUAAAACAUAUAUAUAUAUAUAUUUGAGACAGAGUUUCGCUCUUGUUGCCCAGGCUGGAGUGCAGUGGUGCGAUCUUGGCUCAUGGCAGCCUCUGUCUCCCGGGUUCAAGUGAUUCUCCUGACACAGCCUUGUAAGUGGUUGGGAUUACAGGUGUGUGCUAUCAUGCCCGGCUAAUUCUGUAUUUUGAGUAGAGACGGGGGUUUCUCCACGUUGGUCAGGGUGGUCUCGAACUCCCGACCUCAGGUGAUACCCUCGCCUCGACCUCUCAGAAUGCUGGGAUUAGAGGCUUGAGCCACCACGCCUAGCUGCAAACAUAUUUCUUAUAUUUUCCAACAUCACAAAAUUUUACUGAGCUAUGAUAUGUACUAAAAGCUGAUAAAGAUGGUGUUGUUAUAUUUAACAGUACUCUGAAUUUUGUUGCCAUUUCUAAAAUUGUAUUCAGAGGAAAUUAUGCCCAUGUUUCUAUAGAGAGAAUUUUAAAAAAUACAUGAGCAUAGAAAUUUGAGCAACAUUGAUUAAGGUUCCAUAAAAUUGAAGCAGGAAAUAGUAUAGAAUAUACUUUUGCUCACUCUAUUAAAAUAAGUCUCUCAUAAGUAUGCUUCAGUUAAGUUCGAAGGGUAGGAAAAUUAACCUGGAACGGGGCAUUCAGAUAUAAGUAAGUUUAUUUUGGAGAAAUUUCUAUGUCAGCUGAGAUUAUUUUCUAUAAAAACAGAAGAAAGAUGAAUAUCACUAAUGAUAGCACAAACCACUAAUUAGAAGGCAGUAUGUAGAAUUUUUCUGGAAAAAUAAAACUAUAAAUGACAAAUUAAUUUUAGCAGAAAUUGUAAGAAAAUGCAAUGAGGGUAAUAGGAAUGUUAUCUUUGAAUACAAUGGACAGCAAAUUGUAAACUGAAUGUAUUCACUAACACAAAAGAGAAAAUUACUUUUAAUGAUUGCCUAUUGUUUCUCUCUACAUAAAGUUUGAGUUUCAUGUCUGAUGACCUUAUGGCUUUUUAAAUAGACACUUCAUGUGACAUCAUUAAAUUACUUUAUACAGUAUUACUACAUUUCUAUGGUAAAAUUUAAGCAAGAGAUUAAUUUUGAAAGACUUUCAGAGAAAGACUUGUAAAUACAGACAUGAGACAUAAAUCUGAUGUGGGCCUUUGCUUUGUUUUGCUUAUUUUCUUUUAGUUUUUGUUUAAUAAAAAAUUGGGGUUUGUAAAAGUUUAGAAUACUCGCAGGAAUGUUGUCUAGCAACAUUUUUGGUUAUAUUAGUAACAUAACUACAUGGAAUAACAGCAAGAAAUUUUCUUCCAUGAAAAAUUAAUUUUCCAUUUCUAUUGCAAGGGGAGAGAAACAACUAAGUGCUGCAUAUAUCCCCCAAAUUAUAUUUAAUUAUUUCAUACUUAAAUUUUCUUUGUUACCACAGCGUAAAGGGUUGUCACAGUGCAAUGGUGGCACCUAUUGGCAUAUGGGAUAUAUGACAUUAAACUGUCUGAAUUUUCCCCAAAUUUUCUCUAUUCAGUGCAUAUAAGUUCUAGAAUUGAAGAACGCAUGGCUAAAAUCAGCACUUUCAAUUUUAAAUGAACAAGUUUAAAAGCCAACACUAAAUGCAAUGUGUAAGGUGGCAUUAGUCAUGGAGGUUUUCUGACCAUGGGACAUUAAAAAUAAUGAGAAGAGAAAACAAUGUCAAUAUUUAUUUCACAAUAAUGCUUUUGUGAAACAGUGAAAUAAUGAAAAAUCAGAAAUAUAGAUAGAUAGAUAGAUAGAUAGAUAGAUAGAUAGAUGCAGAUAUACACCAUAAAGACAUACACUAAUCAGGGAGCUAUUCACUGGAGAGAAAAGAUUAAACUAAUCAGGUUAAUAAUUAUGUAUAUAUAGAAAAGUGAAUCAUAUACCAUAUUUAUAGACUCACCGUGAUGGAUCAGUUUUCUCUAUAUAACAUCCAAGCAUAAAACGUGGAGAAAUCAGCUAAUGAGGAGUUCAGUCAGAUCUACAAAACAAUGAUAAUUGAUUCCUUCUAUAUAAUUUUUCUUCUUAGGCCUGGAUAUAUUGUAUAUAACAUAAUAUUUAAUUUGUACUAUUUAUGAUAUAUAAUGUGCAAUAUAUAAUGUAAAAUCAUAAGAUUAAUUUUGGAACACGCUCUUACGUUAUUGAAACACAGAUUAAUAAUGUAUAUAUUAUAUAUUACUCAUAUAUAUCAUUACUGUAUAUAUAUUACUCAUGCUUUCAGUCACAUGAAGAGAGCUUCUAAGUAUUAAUGUAUGACAUACUAAAAUGAAUGAGCGUUCUCCACAAAACAUACUUUCAUCACCCAAUGAAUAUUUAUAUUAUGUUGCCAAUUACAGAGUAGGAAGUAUUGGAUAUAAAUACUGUUCUCAUGGAGCUUACAGUGUUAAUGCAUUUGUCUUUUAUAUCUAAUACUUAUUAUAUUAUUUCCGUUAUUAUAAUAUAAGGGAAAUGUAUGUUAUAGUAAUGACAAGGAUAAUAACAAUGAUGCAAUGAAAGAGGUGAUCAAGGACAAGGGUUAGAAUGACAAAAAGAGAAAAAUAAGGUAGUGUUAAAUUAUAUGAAGACAAAGUAAGCAAGAGGAGUUGGUAGAUGGAUUGUGGGUGGGGGUGCACAAUGUUAAACAGGUGAUUCAUGUAGUCUCCAGUGAUAUGACAUUCAAGCCAAACCUGUAUUAGGUUAAUCAAUGCUGAAUCCAUUUUUUCUAAUGUGGAGUGAAUAGUGAUAGCACAAUUUCUAGAGGAAAAUUUAGGUUUGGGGUAGAAAUUUAGAAGUCAUCAAAAUAUGUAUUUUAUUUAUGCACAAAAGACUGGAUGAAAGUACUAAAAGAGGGUAAAUGUUUACAGAGAAAAGAAGAGUUCCAAGCGUUCAGUCCUGAAGUACUCCAGCAUUUGUGAGAUUGAUUAAAACAGAAAGAACUAGAAUGAGUGACUUAAAAAAAGAGAAUGUGGUUGUUGGAGAAAACACAGAAGAAUGUGGUAUCUUCCCCAAGAAGAAAGAAUAAAUAAGAAUUUGUGCUAAUGAUUGCUGAUAGACCUAAUAUGAGGAAAACUGAGUGAUUACUAUUGAGUUAUCAAUAUAUGUACACCACUGGUGACCUAGAGAAGUUUGGUGAGUGCCAGAGGCAAACUCCAGAUUGAGCAGAUUCAAGAGGAAAUGGAAACAAGUGAAUAGAAGAAGUGAACAGAGCUAUAAGAGUACAGACAGCUUUAUGUAUGAUCUCUGCUCUAAAGAAGAGCAAGGAGAUUGGGAGGCCGAGGUGGGUGGAUCACCAGGUCAGGAGAUCGAGACCAUCUGGGUUAACACGGUGAAACCCCGUCUCUAUUAAAAAUACAAAAAAUUAGCCGGGCGUGGUGGCGGACGCCUGUAGUCCCAGCUACUCGGGAGGCUGAGGCAGGAGAAUGGCGUGGACCCAGGAGGCGAAGCUCAGUGAGCUGAGAUCGCGCCACUUGCACUCUCAGCC